CCCUAGCUCACCCAAUCGCCUCGCAGUCUCGCACUCAGCUCCUCCCCGGCCAAUCCUCUCUCGUCGCAUAUGGAGGUGCUGCUCCGCCUCCCUGUCUGCCCACCAUUCUCCUUUCUCCCAAGCCUCAUCUUCAAGCCCCAUCCCCCGAGCCGCUCUACCUCCCUGGACGGCCGCCGGCCAGCAGGAGCAGCGCACCGCUAGGGCAAGCAGGAGGGGCUGCUGGAGCUCUUCCCUUGAUGGUGAUGGCGGACUCGACCUCGCGCCGGCGGCCUCCACAGGAGCAGCGCGGAGGAAACACUAGCCGUCGACUCCCCGCGCGUGAUCCUCCUCAAUCGCCUGCUUCGCUCCUUCCCCAACCCCCGUCGUCCACGCGCCGCCUCCAUGGUGGGACUCCUCCAUAUUCGCCCCCAUGGCUUCCUCCUCCUCCAAUCUGUCGUGCCACCAGCCCCCGAUUCGGUUCCUCUCCGUCGGCACCAGCAGAUAGUGGGAUGGAGGAGCAGGUUGGUGUCCUCGUCCCUUGCUUCACCAGGCUGCAGGGGCGUUCAAGACGCCGCCGUCGUCCUCGACCUUGGCGAGCCAACCUCCACCUUGCGCCGUCGCCAUCGCCGGUAGCAGCGGUGGGUGGCUGCUUCUUCGUGUCUUUACUCUGUAUCUCCCUCACGUGCUCUGCCAAGGCUGUAGUUACACACUCUCUCUCAUAACGGCUUGGGAAGGGCAAAGGUGGAGGUCUUCAGGCAAUAGGGUGGCUGCCCAGGAUUCCUUCUCCUCCAUGGUGUUAGUGACAAGAUCCCAAGGCCCUGGGCAACUUCUUCAUCUUCAAUUCUUCAUGCCAUUUUUUUCUGCAGUCCAGUUCAGGUCCUACAUGGUGAUGCUUUGUAUGGGGUCAUAGAAUUUCAGAAUUGCAGACAAACAACUAUUGAUUAGAGAUUCAUGCGUACAAGCAAGGUAUGAAACAACAAGUUCUGCUAGGAUCUCAGCUUCCACAUGCUGGUCAACUCCAAAUUCUUCAAGUGUUACGCCCUUCAGUAAAACUGAGAUGGAAGAGAUUAUAUCUAAAGUGAGAAGUCUAAAAAUGAAUCUGAUGUUGGGCAAGCUUUAUAGGAUAUCUAGAAAUAACUGUACAACUGCCAUAUGUAUAAAGAAGUGUUUGAGGUACAACAUUGCAAAGGUUUUGUUUCUACGAUCAUGAAUGAAUUAUAUAACUGUACAUUCUGUCUGAAUUAUAAUAUAAAACUUUUAUAGGGUGUCAGUAUAUGGGUUAAUCAUUUUUAGGUCUGACCAUCAUUUUAAAGUGGCACUAUUUAUUUAUAUUAUAUAGUGUUUUGCAUGAGAGUAUAAACUAGGAUAUUACUUGCACAUACAUUUGAAAAUAUUGCUUGAAAAUAUCAGGUCUGAGGCGUGUAUGCUAUUUAAGAAGUGUUUUCCUACCUUGGAAACUUGUAGCUGUAGUUUCUCCUGAGCCAUGAUAUGAUACUUUAUCAAUAUUACGUAUUUGGUUCUUGAAAAAUUAGGAGAGUAUAUAAAUAAGAGUGCUCAAAUCUUGCUAGCAAGUGCUUGUUAUGAUUGAUGUGAGGAUUGUUUCUUUGGGGGUAACUAACUCAAAACCUCAGAUUGUUUUAUCUACUUAAAAAAUAAUUGGUAAGGCAUUCUACGAGGCACUAUUUGCCAUGUGGUGUGGAGUGUUAUUGUCUGAUUUUUUUGGCUUGUUAUAGUCUAGAGCGUUUCUCAAAUAAUUUUGGAAUGGAUUUUGUGCAGAUUUGCAGCGAAGUAACUCCCAAAACUUCUUUGCAGCAAACUAACUCAAAAACUCAUUUUUUUUCUCUUCGUAGAUAAUAAUUCUCAGAUACUUUCUACUUAUAACCUCAAUCAUAUAUAUUUUUAAGUCAUUGUUCUCUAGGCCAUCAUAUUUUCCUAAAGAUGGUAUUUCAGUUUCAAGAAAAUCAUUGUUGCCUGUCAUAUAAGGAUCAAUUACUUCAUUCAGUUAUUGAACAUUUGUAAUGGACUAUGAUUUUGCAAAUUAUGUUUAUAUUUUGAAUAUGUAGAUUGGUAUUCAAGUCCCUCAGGGACCCCUUUGCUAAUGAAGCAUCACUACCUUGUUGGCUAUACAUGACCGUGCAUGUGCUAUUCCUUUAUGCAAAGCAAUCAGCUCAUUCUUGGCUUAUUCUGAGUGCAGCUGUCUGUUCUUUUGCAGCUGAUGAAGAAUUUUAUUGGAUCUCAAUUUUCAUGAAAGCUUCACUGAUUCCAUAGAUGGAAGUCAUGUAUCUUCCAGCUUUGUAAUGCUAUUUUUUUAGUGUGGGUUUCUCUUGACUGCUCUUAGUUGAGUGCUAAUUGCUAAGCCAUUAUCUCAAGCUGAGUAUGAUUACCUCUUGCUAAUUAAUGUCAUUAUUAGUUAAUUUCUAAUUGUUUUCCAGCUCACAAGAUGAUAUUUUUUCUAAAAUCCGUGAGUUGUUUCCUUUAUCUUGCAGCUUUUGAAUAGAAACUGCAAACUUAACUGAACUAACAUAUAAACAGGAUUCAGAGGAGUAAGGUUAGUGCCUCUUGCGGUGGUUUGUUUGAUUUGUGCUAGCUUUGUUCACCAGAUUCAGUAGUGUAUUAGUUAUGUUAGUAUUUUUUUGCAAUAUAGAUGUUGACGUUGCAUCUUCAGAUAUGUUUUCCACCCCUUUUUUUUGCAAUAGAGUGACUACAAACUAGAUGUGACAUGUCUUACCGAUCAGUAUUCACACUAUAUUUGUGACUGCAUCUUCAGUUUUUUGUCGCUAAAUUGGAUUUUUUACCAUCUUUACCAGCAAGGGGCCCUGCAUUCUCUUCUACUCUCGCUGUGCUGGUUUCGAUGCACCGGUGCAGGACCUUGACAGUGCCCGCUCAACCUAAAGGUUCAUCCUCCACCUCUCUCUCUCUCUCUCCCUCUCUCUCUCAAUACUCCAAUCAAUGUUUUUGGGAAAGGUAGGACGAGCCGCUAUUGGUUUGGACAUGCUUUCCCCUGCUUGAUGUGGUUUUUCGCUGCAAAAGGAGGUCACCACGUGUUGAUACGUUAGAGUGUGUGAUAUAUUUUGCUUUGGAUGUUUUCUUUUCUCCAGCUUCAUAAUGUUUAUGCUUGAUGUUUGAUAAAUUGUCCACAUGGGCUUACACGUUUUCUCGGGUUGUGGUGCAUGAUGUACGUGAGAGUGAGAGUUUGCUCUUACCUGAGUCUUGAGAGUUUGUUAUUAAACUGUCCACAAAGCCAGGCCGAGCUUGCUCUUACUCGAGUUGUCGGGCCUGCUGUGCAAAGGACAAAGUUGGCUCCUGAUGGUGCUAUUUGUUCAUAUAUAGACCAUUCUUUCUACUCUAAGGUUUGGAACUUAGUUUUGCUCCAUUGCGAGGCGACUGAC
Lolium perenne is the source of this 3368-nucleotide long non-coding RNA. RefSeq lists it as uncharacterized. The record is from RefSeq and is a predicted model, not a curated record. Lineage: Eukaryota; Viridiplantae; Streptophyta; Magnoliopsida; Poales; Poaceae.